ACGCGGGGUGGAGCAGCCUGGUAGCUCGUCGGGCUCAUAACCCGAAGGUCGUCGGUUCAAAUCCGGCCCCCGCANN
RNAcentral lists this transfer RNA (76 nucleotides) under Shigella sonnei. RNAcentral's name for it is "tRNA-Met(cat)". It matches the Rfam family "tRNA". From Rfam's summary of the family: Transfer RNA (tRNA) molecules are approximately 80 nucleotides in length. Lineage: Bacteria; Pseudomonadati; Pseudomonadota; Gammaproteobacteria; Enterobacterales; Enterobacteriaceae. The record is from RNAcentral.